This 375-nucleotide long non-coding RNA is filed under the name Eucalyptus grandis. RNAcentral describes it as "long non-coding RNA (EGRA_LNC005888)". The record is from RNAcentral. Lineage: Eukaryota; Viridiplantae; Streptophyta; Magnoliopsida; Myrtales; Myrtaceae.
UUUUAUUGUGUUGAUUCUUUUUUUGAUUCUCGGACGCAGAAUCAACUUUUUUUUUAUUCUCAAAUCUACUUCAAAACUGAUUCUCGAAACAAAUUUGUUCCCAGGAACAAAAUUUUUACCAAACACGAUUCUCGUCCCAAACUGAUUUUGGGAACAAAAAAUCAGAAUCAGUCACUGUUUGGCAUGUUGCCAAACAGAGCCUUAGCUCACCACCGAGAGAAAAAGCCCCCUCGACGUGAUCCCAUAAAAACCCCAAUGUGGCCGUGUAUUCCUAUCGUAUGACUAUGGCCCCCUUGAACCCUAUAUAUUUUAACUUAUUUUUAGGCCAUGAAUUAAGGUUUUUAAUCUUUUUAAAUCGGUACCCACAAUUUUUUU